GUUUGUCCGUUUAAGUUGUCUGUUUAAGGCACCCUGUAUAAAAUGACACAGCACGUGUUUGCGUUGUUCAGAGAGCCAGCCAUUAUGAAAUUGCCAGAGCACGUAUCACGAAAUUAUCCUGGUAAAUCGGCCAGUGACAGUAAUUAUGUCACCGUCAGGCUGUGUCUAUCUCAAUUAUCCAGUUACAUUUCCAAAUUUUCACUCGGUUUAAUGAUACUGCUUAAAUUUCACCGUUAAACGCGUGUCGUGUCCGCACCCCCAUCUCUUUCGUGCCUUCCAGCAGUUUCAGCGAAUCGAUGCGAACCGUGAUAAUUAACUUGCCUCUCUGCUUCUCGCGAUUUUACCAGGAAACGAAGAUAAAACGUAUGAGCGAAGAAACGUGAAACUUCACCAUAAUAUAUACGCCGAAGACUGCAUCCAAAUGACUUUUAUAGAUUAUAUAAGGUAUUUCGCAAAAUAUAUUCGUAUCAAAAACUAACAAUGAGUGUGAUUUUUUAUAAAUAAAUAAAUUGAAAAUACAAAAGAUAUAAAAACAUUACUCAUUGAUAUCGCGGUAAACGCUCAUAAUUUAAUUCUUAAAAUUCACG
Molecule: unclassified non-coding RNA, 587 nt
Filed under: Bombus terrestris (buff-tailed bumblebee)
Lineage: Eukaryota; Metazoa; Arthropoda; Insecta; Hymenoptera; Apidae
Description: misc RNA ENSBTSG00005031755.1
Source: RNAcentral